Molecule: ribosomal RNA, 497 nt
Filed under: uncultured bacterium
Lineage: Bacteria
Description: partial 16S ribosomal RNA
Rfam family: Bacterial small subunit ribosomal RNA
Source: RNAcentral
GAUGAACGCUGGCGGCGUGCCUAAUACAUGCAAGUCGAGCGAACGGACGAGAAGCUUGCUUCUCUGAUGUUAGCGGCGGACGGGUGAGUAACACGUGGAUAACCUACCUAUAAGACUGGGAUAACUUCGGGAAACCGGAGCUAAUACCGGAUAACAUUUUGAACCGCAUGGUUCAAAAGUGAAAGACGGUCUUGCUGUCACUUAUAGAUGGAUCCGCGCUGCAUUAGCUAGUUGGUAAGGUAACGGCUUACCAAGGCAACGAUGCAUAGCCGACCUGAGAGGGUGAUCGGCCACACUGGAACUGAGACACGGUCCAGACUCCUACGGGAGGCAGCAGUAGGGAAUCUUCCGCAAUGGGCGAAAGCCUGACGGAGCAACGCCGCGUGAGUGAUGAAGGUCUUAGGAUCGUAAAACUCUGUUAUUAGGGAAGAACAUAUGUGUAAGUAACUGUGCACAUCUUGACGGUACCUAAUCAGAAAGCCACGGCUAACUACGUG